AUACGGGGGGAGCAAGCGUUGUUCGGAAUUACUGGGCGUAAAGCGCGCGUAGGCGGUUUGGUAAGUCGGAUGUGAAAGCCCUGGGCUCAACCCGGGAAUUGCAUUCGAAACUGCCCGACUCGAGUAUGGUAGAGGGAAGUGGAAUUUCCGGUGUAGCGGUGAAAUGCGUAGAUAUCGGAAGGAACACCAGUGGCGAAGGCGACUUCCUGGGCCAAUACUGACGCUGAGGUGCGAAAGCGUGGGGAGCAAACAGGAUUAGAAACCCCAGUAGUCC
Molecule: ribosomal RNA, 274 nt
Filed under: uncultured bacterium
Lineage: Bacteria
Description: partial 16S ribosomal RNA
Rfam family: Bacterial small subunit ribosomal RNA
Source: RNAcentral